Molecule: ribosomal RNA, 253 nt
Filed under: uncultured bacterium
Lineage: Bacteria
Description: partial 16S ribosomal RNA
Rfam family: Bacterial small subunit ribosomal RNA
Source: RNAcentral
UACGGGGGGGGCAAGCGUUGUUCGGAAUUACUGGGCGUAAAGGGUUCGUAGGUGGCCAACUAAGUCAGACGUGAAAUCCCUCAGCUUAACUGGGGAACUGCGUCUGAGACUGGAUGGCUCGAGUGCAGGAGAGGAACGCGGAAUUCCAGGUGUAGCGGUGAAAUGCGUAGAUAUCUGGAGGAACACCGGUGGCGAAGGCGGGUCUCUGGUCCACUUCUGACGCUGAGGCGCGAAAGCCAGGGGAGCAAACGGG